Molecule: ribosomal RNA, 199 nt
Filed under: uncultured bacterium
Lineage: Bacteria
Description: partial 16S ribosomal RNA
Rfam family: Bacterial small subunit ribosomal RNA
Source: RNAcentral
ACGCUCGACACCUACGGGAGGCAGCAGUCGGGAAUAUUGCGCAAUGGAGGAAACUCUGACGCAGUGACGCCGCGUAUGGGAAGAAGGUUUUCGGAUUGUAAACCAUUUUAGACAAGGAAGAAACAAGACAGUACUUGUAGAAUAAGCUCCGGCUAACUACGUGCCAGCAGCCGCGGUAAUCUGAGCGGGCUGGCAAGGC